Molecule: ribosomal RNA, 465 nt
Filed under: uncultured Klebsiella sp.
Lineage: Bacteria; Pseudomonadati; Pseudomonadota; Gammaproteobacteria; Enterobacterales; Enterobacteriaceae
Description: bacterial SSU rRNA
Rfam family: Bacterial small subunit ribosomal RNA
Source: RNAcentral
CCUACGGGGGGCAGCAGUGGGGAAUAUUGCACAAUGGGCGCAAGCCUGAUGCAGCCAUGCCGCGUGUGUGAAGAAGGCCUUCGGGUUGUAAAGCACUUUCAGCGGGGAGGAAGGCGGUGAGGUUAAUAACCUCAUCGAUUGACGUUACCCGCAGAAGAAGCACCGGCUAACUCCGUGCCAGCAGCCGCGGUAAUACGGAGGGUGCAAGCGUUAAUCGGAAUUACUGGGCGUAAAGCGCACGCAGGCGGUCUGUCAAGUCGGAUGUGAAAUCCCCGGGCUCAACCUGGGAACUGCAUUCGAAACUGGCAGGCUAGAGUCUUGUAGAGGGGGGUAGAAUUCCAGGCGUAGCGGUGAAAUGCGUAGAGAUCUGGAGGAAUACCGGUGGCGAAGGCGGCCCCCUGGACAAAGACUGACGCUCAGGUGCGAAAGCGUGGGGAGCAAACAGGAUUAGAUACCCUAGUAGUC